GUGCUUGCUUCAACAGCACAUAUACUAAAACUGGAGCAAUACAGAGAAGAAUUAGCAAGGUCCCUGCCAGGAUGACAUGCAAAUUUAUGAAGCAUUCCAUAUAUUU
This 106-nucleotide small nuclear RNA is filed under the name Bos mutus (wild yak). The record is from RNAcentral. Lineage: Eukaryota; Metazoa; Chordata; Mammalia; Artiodactyla; Bovidae.